Molecule: long non-coding RNA, 940 nt
Organism: Chinchilla lanigera (long-tailed chinchilla)
Lineage: Eukaryota; Metazoa; Chordata; Mammalia; Rodentia; Chinchillidae
Exons: 3
Source: RefSeq, a predicted model, not a curated record
ACUGAAGACAAUGCAGAGAAAAGAAUGAAGCAACCUGGAACACUAACCCUGGCUCCUCGGGAGGGGAUCUGUCUCCACACACACAACGUAAGCCUGAAGAGCAUCUGCUCCCCGGAGAAAUGAAGGACCAGGCCAGAAGCACUAGCCCCAAGCAAAACCCGGUUACUGUGAACUGCAAAGACUGCGGGACUUUUACUCUGAAAGCGACUUCUUCCAGAGUGGGACGACAGACCCCCUGGAGCACCCGCCGUACUGGAGAGAGAUUAGGGAGAAGUCACUGGGGAGGGCUCAUUCUGUAAGACUUACCUAUCAAUGGAACCAAACGAAACAGAGCAACUACACUUCAGAGUUCUGCGUCACCACAGUGACUGCUGGAAAGACACCACACCCAAACCCAAAUCCAAGGAGGUUUCCUGGACCAUUUCCUUUUGUCUGGUUCUCUGUUUCAGGGGUCGGGGAUCAAGGCACCAAAAGAAGGUUGGACCUCAAAUAUCAUGCUGAGUAGGUUGAAGAAGGGUAUAAACUCUGAAAUAGAAGGAGCAGCACUGCAGAAAACAAGCAGGAGCAGCUAUCUUACUUUCAGACUCAACAGACUUCAAGCUAACGCUCACGAAGGAGACAAUGACGGCCGCUACAUACCGAUACCUACCGAGAAACUAAUCGUGUAAAGCACUGGAGCGGAUGCUGCACAGAAAAUCAAAAUGAAAGCGUCAUCUGUGCCCUCCAGGCAAAGCUGACUCAGGUAAACCUCCCAGUUAGAAAGUACAGGGGCUCAGGGGUGAACUGCCCCGUUAGGAGACGUAACGGCCUUGCGGUGGGAGAGGACGACAGAAGACGGAGGUGAGCCUCCAGGACGCUUGACUAUCACCAGGGAAGGGCUCUUCUGGGUGAGACAGCCUCUGUUUUGAAUUGCCCAAAAUCUUAGGGCCCAUCAGUUGAA